AGAAAGCAAGAGUCGUACGAGAUCUGAUAAAAAUAAAGAACUUGAUGCUAUCACUUGGAACCCCAAAACUAACCUUAGCGACCAAAGCACGUACACGUUUACACUGGAAAUUUCAAAGAAUUGAAUCAACUCCAAAAAAGUUAUGCCGUCAUCGUUUUUGGUGACCACUUUUGCAGUCGAUUCAUUUGGAAAUUUACAGUGAGGUUAUAAUAACAAUUAAGCAACAAUAUAUAUAGCAUUUGUAUAUAGACAAAGAGUAACAGAUGAUGAACUGCAUCGCAAUACAAUUAAGUAACAGUAUAUAUAGCAUUUGUAUAUUAGGGCAAGAGUGACAGACGUUGGACUGGUAGUACAAUUAAAACCGGUUUCAGACGAGCAAGUUUUCUAUGACAAGUUUUUAUGUGACAAGUUUUAUUUGCCAAGUGCACGUGUAUAUAUGCAACAAAUUUUAGAUGUCAAAUUUUCAUAUGACAAGUUUUAUUUACUGGUGCGAACGUGUCAACAAGUUUACUUUGACAAUUUAUUAGUGGCCAGCUGGCCAAUCACAUCAAAUGCUCGGAUUACUUUGACAAGUUUUCUUUGUUGACCCAUAGAGACG
Molecule: non-coding RNA, 598 nt
Organism: Paramuricea clavata
Lineage: Eukaryota; Metazoa; Cnidaria; Anthozoa; Malacalcyonacea; Plexauridae
Source: the annotation of a GenBank genome assembly